Long non-coding RNA from Musca domestica (house fly), 3742 nucleotides. RefSeq lists it as uncharacterized. The transcript has 5 exons. Lineage: Eukaryota; Metazoa; Arthropoda; Insecta; Diptera; Muscidae. The record is from RefSeq and is a predicted model, not a curated record.
UAUUCUAACACGUAUGUAUUGUGAGAUGCUACUUGCAAAAGAGACAUGUUAAAGUUAUAUAUGUAUAGAAACAUGUACGAAAAUGAUUAAAGGCUUGCUCCCGGCCUGAACAUUUGCUGACAGCGCUUCUGACGGCUGUCAAAUAAAUAUUCUCUUAAAACUAAAUAACAAAAACAAUUCGAAUGUGUCUGCUUUGCAAUGGUAAACAGAGCGUUUACAAUUAUAAACAUAAACAAUUGUAAAUAAAUAUAAUAAAUGAGUGAUUAAAGUGUAUAUAGUAAAAUAAGAUAAAUCACAGCGAAUUCCAAUUAAGCAUAAUUUGGAUAUUAUAAAAUAUAAAAAUUAAUUUAUCACAGUUAUAACGAAUUCUCACAUGUGGAGACAACUCUAAGUUUUAAAAAAUAUUUUUUUUUGAUUGUUAACCCCUAUGGGUACCUGGUGUAGCUUUUAUAUAAAAAUGUGGUGUUGUAUUGCCUGGAACGGGCUCUAUGUUUUCAUUCAAGAUUCCAAUUGUUGACAGAUACUGCGACGAUGACCAAGAAAUGUUUUUAUCUCUGUCAUAGAUUUCAUUCAUCAAUACGUUGUCGUGGUUGGGGAGUUUCUCAACAAAUCUCUUUUGGAUGUUUAGGGCGUAUAGACAGAUUGGUUCUAUUCCUGAAUUGCUAUAUAUGAUUUUUCGUUCGAAGAUCUCCAAUUCCUUCAUGACCGAUGGCGAGAUGGAAAACCAAAUUGGAAAUCCAUACAGCAGAAUUGGACGAAUGGCUGCCUUGUAUAGUAGGAGUUUAGUCUUUUGUGAUCGAACGUGUGAAUUAAAUUUAAGCAGCAUAUUAAAUGUUACUCCAAGGUACUGCAUGUUUGCUUUAAAAGGGAUUUCCACACCUUCUAACGCCGUUCGUAGCAGCUUACUUUCCGGUACCACAUGUUUUGGACAUUUUCCCGAUGCGUUCCUUAUGCAGAUAGCUUGAGACUUGGCAGCAUUAAUGCAUAUACCCCAUUUUUUAUAAUAUUGGUGUAUUAUAAAUAAGUGCUCCUCUACGUGACGUAGUGCAUACUCCGGUGAAGCAUUAUGUGCAUAAAUUAGACAAUCGUCAGCAUAGAGAAUUGCUUUUGAAUGAGAUGUUGAGUGAGGAAAGUCAUUUAGAAAUGUGUUGAACAGAAAAGGUGCUAAGACACUCCCUUGAGGAACCCCACUGUUAACUGGACCUUGGAUUGACUUGUCGUUUCUUAUUUGUACAAAGAAUUUACGAUCGGAAAGGUAAUUUUGUAUUAUUUUGAUUAAAAAUGGGUCCACACCCAGUUCAAUGAGUUUAUAUACAAUUGCUUUGUGGCACACGGAGUCAAAGGCUUUUUCUAUGUCCAAGGAUAUGGCUACAGUACUGAUACGGUUUUUCAAAUUUGCUGUAGUGUCGUUGUGGAACUUUAAAAGCGCGUGCUGUGUUGAAUGCUUUCGUUGGAAACCAAAUUGAAAGUUAGAUAUAUGAUUUGUAAUGAACUCAUUUUCUAUUUUUUCUUUUAGGACAUGUUCAAAGAUUUUACCGAGAUUUGAUAAGAGAGAGAUCGGACGAUAAUCAGCAACACUUUCGCUAUUGGCCUUUUUUUGGACUGGAACAAUUUUUGCUAGCUUCCACAUUUUGGGAAAGUAGCCAUUAUUGAUGGAGUUAUUACAAAUGCAUGUUAUAAUUCGCAGAGCAGUUUCAGGAAAUUUGCGCAUAACAAAAUUUGAGAUUCCAUCAACUCCACUUGACUUUUUAUUAUUGGCCUUUUGCAUAAUUUCUUUGAUUUUUUCAGGAUUGGCGAAAUGGUAAUUAUCUGUAUUUGAUAUUGAGUUGAACUGUCUGUCGAAUGAAUAUAUACUUGGAGAUAUGGAUGUGAGACAAGAAGAAAUUCUAGAUUGAAGAAUAUCCGUUGGAAGUCCAGUUAUAGUUUCUUGAAAGGAAGACGUAUAGUACUGGUGGAAAUGAUUUGCAAUUUCAGAAUUAUAAAAAACAGUGGUGUUAUUGACCUGCAAUUGCUGGCAGAACGGGGAUUUCUUUCUGCCGCUGAACUUAUAAAUCUCUUUAAAAGCAGAUGGGCCAGGUUUAAUAUCUUGAAGACGAUUGUUGAAUGUGUCAGCUUGUUCGAUGCUUAUUGAUUCUUUUAUUACUACUUUCAGAAGCUGAAUUUGUUUGGAUAAUAUGCGGUAAUCGCUGCUCAUUCUAUUUCCUGUUCUAUGAAAUAUCUUUUUUAAUUCUUUCUGCCAUUGAUGUUUUACUUUGUAAAGCCGUUUGGAUCUCUCAGAGAGAGGAAAGAGGCCGUUGUUGAUUGUGAUUAUCUGUGAGUGGGCAUCGUGGAUUGAGUUGAAACAGCUGUUGAAGGAGUCAACUAAUCCAUCAAUAUCUUCAUUACUAAGAUUAGUUUCUGCUGAAGGAAAUAUAUGAAGGAGGAGCAUUUAAAAUCAAGUCGGUACAAUCCAUUUUUAUUGACAUUUUUAACGGGAAAUGGUCCGAAAAUGAUGGUAAUGAGGAAAUUACGAAGUUUGGUGUUAUGUUGUCCAACAGAUUGGAGCUGACAAGAAAAUGAUCCAAAUAGGAAGGGCCAUUCGGAUAUGACGGUGACACAUCGCAUACUCGAACUACGUCUAAUAUGUUUGUUUGCAGCCAAGCUUUCAAAGAUUUUCCGUUGGUAUUCUCUGCAGAGUCACCCCAGUCUGGGUUUCUUGAAUUUAAAUCCCCACCAAAAAUAAAGCCGUCAUAACUUGCACACACUUGCAUGAGUUUAUCUAGAUCAGCUUCCAGCUGCUGAGCAGGAUAAUUGCAAGGGACGUAUAAUGAUCCCAACGCGAUUUUUUUUCGAACUGAAUUUUGUAGACAUUCAAUUUGAAUCAUGCAUGUUUUUACGCCGACAUCACUGAUAACAAUUUUUGUGUGUAAUAUGGACUUUUUUAUUAAAACGGCUACGCCAAUGGGUGGCACUCUUGGAUAAAUCCCACAUCGAUAACUCUCAGAGCAAAGGAAGCUAUCUUUUAAAUCAUUGGUUACCUCAAAUUUUGACUCCAAAGUCUUUCAUUGUGACAACUGCUUUUUCAAUACUUGUUGGUAUCUGUGCGUACUACUACAAGAGCCAAUACAUGACUACGGGAAUCAGUUGAGUGUAUCUGAAUUUACUGCAGCCGCCGACGACUACUUCGCUUCGGCAUGCAACAUUUCCAUAUUGUGGAUUAAUUGGAUUUUCGUUAUUUUAGUUUCUAGCGUAGGGGUGACGUUUAAACUACACUUCUCAUUUGCACAUUUUUCAAUUAAACCAUUAUAAGCAUUUAAAUUAAGUAAAUCGAUGAAUAGCGUAUUUUUUAACUGUUGUUGGUGUCGUCGGUGUUAAAUCUUUGUUUAAUGUGUCUUGGUGACAAUAGUUCACCAGGAAUCAAACAUCUAGCGUUUCGGAUAUGUUUUCAACUUACGAUAAACCAGCUCAUCUAUUCGUAGAAUGGAGGUAUACUAUUUAUUCUUUGUUCUUUUUUAUAUUAUUAGUCACAGAUUGGUUGAGCUACCCUAAUUUCGUAAAUGUGAUUCUAUUUUAAGCUGAACAUAGUUUUUAAAUGUUGUUUUUGUAGCCAAGAAAACAAUAUUCUUAUAAGUUUUGCAGUUGAUUUUAACUUAAUCGGUAAUAAGUGAGUUAUGUGAAUCGUUAGUAUAUUCACAUGAGAAAUUGGUACUGACAGGAAGUCAAUAUAUAUUAAUUUAUAAAAAUAAAACAUAUUAAAAAGUAA